AAUCAACGCUGGCGGCGUGCCUCAGACAUGCAAGUCGAACGCGAAAGUUUCCUUCGGGAAGCGAGUAGAGUGGCGUCCGGGUGAGUAACACGUAGGUAAUCUACCUUUGGGUGGGGAAUAACAACCGGAAACGGUUGCUAAUACCGCAUAAUGCAGCGGCACCACAUGGUGACAGUUGUUAAAGCGGGGGAUCGCAAGACCUCGCGCCUAAAGGAGGAGCCUGCGGCGGAUUAGCUAGNGGUAAGGUAACGGCUUACCAAGGCAACGAUCCGUAGCCGGCCUGAGAGGGCGGUCGGCCACACUGACACUGAAAUACGGGUCAGACUCCUACGGGAGGCAGCAGUC
This 345-nucleotide ribosomal RNA is filed under the name uncultured bacterium. RNAcentral describes it as "bacterial SSU rRNA". It matches the Rfam family "Bacterial small subunit ribosomal RNA", at positions 32 to 356 of the family's 1533-position model. The record is from RNAcentral.